Molecule: ribosomal RNA, 2850 nt
Filed under: anaerobic digester metagenome
Description: bacterial LSU rRNA
Rfam family: Bacterial large subunit ribosomal RNA
Source: RNAcentral
AGAGCUUAUGGUGAAUGCCUAGGCAAUGAAAGACGAAGAAGGACGUGGCAUACCUGCGAUAAGCCUCGGUGAGGUGGUAGCAACCUAUGACCCGGGGAUGUCCGAAUAGGAAAACCUUUCUUGUUUAACACAAGAAAUUUCCCAUUGAAAAAAUAGAUGGGAUAAAGAAGACCAAGGGAACUGAAACAUCUAAGUACCUUGAGGAACAGAAAUCGUAAGAGAUUCCCUAAGUAGUGGCGAGCGAACAGGGAACAGCCCAAAAUUUGAUUAGUGCCAAGACUGCAGUCGUUGCUAAUCAGAUGGUUGUAAGAUCGCGCAUUAGAGUCCUGCAGGAUUCUUGCGAAGUUACAAAAGAAUAUGUUAGUCAAAGGCUCUGGAAAGGGCCACCGCAGAAGGUGAUAGUCCUGUAGGCGAAAAUAUAUUCUCUUCGGUGCGACUCUUAAGUAGCGCAGGGCACGAGAUAACCCGGCGUGAAUCCGCCCUGACCACAGGGCAAGGCUAAAUACUUUCAUUGACCGAUAGUGAACCAGUACCGUGAGGGAAAGGUGAAAAGAACCCCUGUUAGGGGAGUGAAAUAGUACCUGAAACCAUAAGCUUACCAAGCGGUCAGAGCCCGUUUGUCCCGAUUUAUCGGGAUAAGGGUGAUGGCGUGCCUAUUGAAGAAUGAACCAACGACUUAAUUAUGAGCGGCUUAGGUUAAGUCACUUCGUGACGUAGCCAUAGUGAAAGCGAGGCUUAAAUGGCCGAAUCUGUCGCUUAUAUUAGACCCGAAACCGGGUGAGCUAUCCAUGGCCAGGAUGAAACCACAUUAAACUGUGGCGGAGGUCCGAACCAAUUAGAGGUGCAAAUCUAGUGGAUGAGCUGUGGAUAGAGGAGAAAUUCCAAUCGAACCCGGAGAUAGCUGGUUCUCCCCGAAAUAUAUUUAGGUAUAGCCCGUGUAUUUAAUAAGGAUAGGUAGAGCACUGAAUGGGUUUGAGGAGCGUAAGCUUACUCUAUCUAAUCAAACUCCGAAUUAUUCUUUGUAUAUACGCGGAGUCAGACUGUGGGAGCUAAGUUUCAUAGUCAAAAGGGAAACAGCCCAGACCAUCGUCUAAGGUCCCCAAAUCAUAGCUAAGUGUUUAAGGAUGUUUUAUUGCUCAGACAGCCAGGAGGUUGGCUUAGAAGCAGCCAUUCCUUUAAAGAGUGCGUAACAGCUCACUGGUCAAGUGAUGAUGCGCCGAAGAUUUAACGGGGCUCAAGCUAUGUACCGAAGACAUGGAUUUUCGUGUUUCGCUAACGCGAAUCACAAGUGCCAAGCAACAAGUGCCAAGUAACAAUUAUGCUUUAUAUUUGAAACUUAAAACUUGAAACUUGAAACUUCGUGUUUCUCGAUAGUGAAACACGAAAGUGGUAGGGGAGCGUUCUAUGCGCGUUGAAGUUAUACCGUAAGGAGUGAUGGAGUGCAUAGAAGUGAGAAUGUUGGUAUGAGUAGCGUCAAAAUUCCGAUGAAAAUUCGGAACGCCGAAAAUCCAAGGUUUCCUGGGCACCGUUAAUCGUCCCAGGGUUAGUCGGUCCUAAGUCGAGGCCGAAAGGCGUAGGCGAUGGACAAGCAGUUAAUAUUCUGCUACUGCGAAUAGUUUACCAAAAGCAAUUUGAGUCUAUUGGUAUCAUCUAUAUUUGUACCUUCGGGUAUGAUUAUAGUGGCCUCUAGUACACGAUGCGCUUGACGAUGGGGUAACGCAAAAGGGUAGAUUGUGCGUGUUUUGGCUAUACACGUCUAAGGUGUAAGGAGGAUCUUCUAGGAAAAUCCGGAAGGUCAAUUUCAACUUCGAGCACCGAAUGAAAUGUUGCUUUUAGAAGCGACGGAUACAAUUCAUCUCAUUUGACAAGAAAAACCUCUAAGUUACAAACUAUUCGUAUCCGUACCGGAAACCGACACUGGUGGAUUGGUGCGUAAUGCACCAAGGCGAUCGAUAGAACCUUUGCCAAGGAACUCUGCAAAACAGCGGCCGUAACUUCGGGAUAAGGCCUGCCUGACUUUGUUUAGCUUAUGCGAGAUAAAAGUUCAGGCCGCAGCGAAAGAAUCCCUGCAACUGUUUAACAAAAACACAGGUCUCUGCAAAGCCGCAAGGCAAUGUAUAGGGACUGACACCUGCCCAAUGCUAGAAGGUUAACGGGUUUGGUUACCCCGCUUAGGCGGGGGAAGCUGGACCCCGAAGCCCUAGUGAAUGGCGGCCGUAACUAUAACGGUCCUAAGGUAGCGAAAUUCCUUGUCGGGUAAGUUCCGACCCGCACGAAUGGUGGAAUGAUAGGGAUACUGUCUCGGCAAAGGACUCGGCGAAAUUGCAAUACCGGUAAAGAUGCCGGUUACCUACGAUAAGACAGAGAGACCCCGUGAAGCUUUACUAUAGCUUGAUAUUGGGUUGAUGUUAUGUUUGUGUAGCAUAGGUGGGAGACUUUGAAGCCUAGGCGCUAGCUUAGGUGGAGUCAUCGUUGAAAUACCACCCUAAUAUGAUGUCAAUUCUAACCUAAACCUCAUACCAGGUUUAGGAACAGUGUCAGGUGGGUAGUUUAACUGGGGCGGUUGCCUCCUAAAUGGUAACGGAGGCGUUCAAAGGUCACCUUGUCCCGGAUGGAAAUCGGGAUGAAAGCAUAAAGGUAAAUGGUGGCUUAACUGCGAGACUAGCAAGUCGAGCAGAGACGAAAGUCGGACUUAAUGAUCUGCUACGUACUAGUGGUAGUCGUAGCACUCAACGGAUAAAAGUUACUCCGGGGAUAACAGGCUGAUUGCGUCCAAGCGCCCACAGCGACGACGCAGUUUGGCACCUCGAUGUCGGCUCAUCGCAUCCUGGGGCUGGAGCAGGUCCCAAG